AUUGAACGCUGGCGGCAUGCUUUACACAUGCAAGUCGAACGGUAACGCGGACUUCGGUCUGGCGACGAGUGGCGAGCGGGUGAGUAAUGCAUCGGAACGUAUCCAUUUGUGGGGGAUAGCCCGGCGAAAGCCGGAUUAAUACCGCAUAAUCUCCGAGGAGGAAAGUGGGGGACCUUCGGGCCUUACGCUGAUGGAGCGGCUGAUGUCGGAUUAGCUUGUUGGUAGGGUAAAGGCCUACCAAGGCGACGAUCCGUAGCUGGUCUGAGAGGACGACCAGCCACACUGGAACUGAGACACGGUCCAGACUCCUACGGGAGGCAGCAGUGGGGAAUUUUGGACAAUGGGGGCAACCCUGAUCCAGCCAUGCCGCGUGCGGGAAGAAGGCCUUCGGGUUGUAAACCGCUUUCAGACGGAAAGAAACAGUGCAAGCUAAUACCUUGUACGAAUGACGGUACCGUCAGAAGAAGCACCGGCUAACUACGUGCCAGCAGCCGCGGUAAUACGUAGGGUGCGAGCGUUAAUCGGAAUUACUGGGCGUAAAGAGUGCGCAGGCGGCUCUCUAAGACAGGUGUGAAAUCCCCGGGCUUAACCUGGGAAUGGCGCUUGUGACUGGAGAGCUAGAGUGUGGCAGAGGGGAAUGGAAUUCCUGGUGUAGCAGUGAAAUGCGUAGAUAUCAGGAGGAACACCGAUGGCGAAGGCAGUUCCCUGGGCCAACACUGACGCUCAUGCACGAAAGCGUGGGGAGCAAACAGGAUUAGAUACCCUGGUAGUCCACGCCCUAAACGAUGUCAACUAGUUGUUGGGGAAGGAGACUUCUUUAGUAACGUAGCUAACGCGUGAAGUUGACCGCCUGGGGAGUACGGCCGCAAGGUUAAAACUCAAAGGAAUUGACGGGGACCCGCACAAGCGGUGGAUGAUGUGGAUUAAUUCGAUGCAACGCGAAAAACCUUACCUACCCUUGACAUGUGAGGAACUUGUGAGAGAUCACU
Molecule: ribosomal RNA, 989 nt
Filed under: uncultured bacterium
Lineage: Bacteria
Description: bacterial SSU rRNA
Rfam family: Bacterial small subunit ribosomal RNA
Source: RNAcentral